GAUGAACGCUGGCGGCGUGCCUAAUACAUGCAAGUCGAGCGAACAGGCAAGGAGUUUCUUCUUCUGACGAUUUCCGCGCACGUGUGUGUCACAUAUGGAUCACGUACCUAUACGACUGAGAUAUCUUCGGGACACUGGCGCUAAUCCCAUAUAAUAAAUUGAACCGUGUGGUUCAAUAAUAAGAUACGAUUUUGCUAUUACUUAUUGAUCGAUCCGUGUCGCAUCAGCUAGUUGGUAAGGUAACGCCUUACCAAGGCGAUGAUGCGUAGCCGACCUGAGAGGGUGAUCGGCCACACUGGAACGGGGACACGGUCCAGACUCCUACGGAAGGAAGCAGAAGGGAAUCUUCCGCAAUGAGCGAAAGCCUGACGGGGCAACGCCGCGUGAGUGAGGAAGUUCUUCGGAUCUUAAAACUCGUUUAUUAGGGAAGAAGAAAUGUGGAAUGAACUAUUCACGUCUUGACGGUACCUAAUCAGAAAGCCACGGCUAACUACGUG
Molecule: ribosomal RNA, 497 nt
Filed under: uncultured bacterium
Lineage: Bacteria
Description: partial 16S ribosomal RNA
Rfam family: Bacterial small subunit ribosomal RNA
Source: RNAcentral